Molecule: ribosomal RNA, 546 nt
Filed under: uncultured Glomeromycotina
Lineage: Eukaryota; Fungi; Glomeromycota
Description: SSU rRNA
Rfam family: Eukaryotic small subunit ribosomal RNA
Source: RNAcentral
UUGGAGGGCAAGUCUGGUGCCAGCAGCCGCGGUAAUUCCAGCUCCAAUAGCGUAUAUUAAAGUUGUUGCAGUUAAAAAGCUCGUAGUUGAAUUUCGGGGUCAGUAGGCUGGUCGUGCCACGGGUAUGUACUGGUCUCACUGAUUCCUCCUUCCUGAUGAACCGUAAUGCCAUUAAUUUGGUGUUGCGGGGAAACUGGACUGUUACUUUGAAAAAAUUAGAGUGUUUAAAGCAGGCUAACGCUUGAAUACAUUAGCAUGGAAUAAUGAAAUAGGACGUUCGAUCCUAUUUUGUUGGUUUCUAGGAUUGACGUAAUGAUUAAUAGGGAUAGUUGGGGGCAUUAGUAUUCAAUUGUCAGAGGUGAAAUUCUUGGAUUUAUUGAAGACUAACUACUGCGAAAGCAUUUGCCAAGGAUGUUUUCAUUAACCAAGAACGAAGGUUAGGGGAUCGAAGACGAGCAGAUACCGUCGUAGUCUUAACCAUAAACUAUGCCGACUAGGGAUCGGAUGAUGUUAUUUUUAAUGACUCAUUCGGCGCCUUACGGGAAA